UGGUGGGAUCCAUGCCUGGUUCAUUUUAAUAAACCUGAGCCGUAGACAGGCGACUGCGCUUGUCUGUGAUAACCUUGUGCCGAUCGCACGUCCCCGUGACGGCGACAACGCAUUCAGAUGUCUGCCCUAUCAACUUUCGUUUCUAUUUUCCACGCCUAUUAUUGUGACCACUGGUAACGGGGAAUCAGUGUUCGAUUCCAGAGAGGGAGCUUGAGAAACUGCUACCACAUGCAAGGAAGGCAGCAGGCGCGCAAAUUAGCCACUCCCGACGCGGGGAGGUAGUGA
Non-coding RNA from Pelobates cultripes (western spadefoot toad), 285 nucleotides. Lineage: Eukaryota; Metazoa; Chordata; Amphibia; Anura; Pelobatidae. The record is from the annotation of a GenBank genome assembly.